UUAGUGGUAUCCUGAGUAAUACAUCACACGUGGAACGAUGUAUGAACCCGCGCGGACCACCGCGCAAGGCUAAAUACUAGUUGGCGACCGAUAGUGAACAAGUACCGUGAGGGAAAGGUGAAAAGAACCGCUGUGAGCGGAGUGAAAUAGAACCUGAAACCGUAUGUCUACAAAGUGUCAGAGCAGAGCAAUCUGCGAUGGCGUGCCUUUUGUUUAAUGAGUCUGCGAGUCAGUGUUUGUGGCAAGACUAAGGGCUUCCGGCCCGGAGUCGCAGCGAAAGCAAGUCCGAACAGGGCGCAAUAAGUCGCAGGUACUGGACCCGAAGCGGAGGUGACCUACCCUUGGCCAGGUUGAAGCAUGGGUAAAACCAUGUGGAGGACCGAACAGGUGAACGUUGAAAAGUUCUCUGAUGAGCUGAGGGUAGGAGUGAAAGGCUAAUCAAACCCCGUGAUAGCUGGUUCUCUUCGAAAUGCAUUUAGGUGCAGCGUCACGUGCUGAUGCGCGGGGGUAGAGCACUGACAAGGCUAGGGGGCACACCCGCUUACCAAACCUUAUCAAACUCCGAAUACCGUGCAAUGGAACGUGGCAGUGAGACAGUGGGGGAUAAGCUUCAUUGUCGAGAGGGAAACAACCCAGACCAGCAGCUAAGGUGCCUAAAUAACGCUCAGUGGAAAGGAUGUGGGAUUACACAGACAGUGAGGAUGUUGGCUUAGAAGCAGCCACCAUUUAAAAAAUGCGUAAUAGCUUACUCAUCGAGUGAUCCUGCGCCGAAAAUGAUUGGCGAUCAAGCGUUAUACCGAAGCUCUGGACUUUGCCGCAAGGCAGAGUGGUAGAAGAGCGUUGCAUGCGCGUCGAAGGGCGAUGGCGACUGACCCUGGAGCACAUGCAAGUGAGUAUGCAGACAUGAGUAACGUUAAGCCGGGUGAAAUCCCCGGCCGCCGUAAACCCGAGGUUUCCAGGGCAACGUGUUUCGUCCCUGGGUUAGCCGGGACCUAAGCCGAGGCCGAGAGGCGUAGGCGAUGGACAUCAGGUUAAUAAUCCUGAGCUCGCAACCCUUAAACUGGGGGGACGCAUGAGAAAAGAUGACUAGGUUAUUGAAUUCCGAGUUGAGUCCACGGACUCAGCGCAUCAUUGGAUCGAGUGCCAAGAAAAGCCCCAGCGUAUGCUAAGCGACCCGUACCGCAAACCGACACAGGUGGGUGGGUAGAAUAUACCAAGGCGUAAGAGUGAAACCUGGUUAAGGAACUCGGCAAAUUAGCCCCGUAACUUCGGAAGAAGGGGUGCCUGCAGCGAUGCAGGCCGCAGAGAAAUGGCCCAACCGACUGUUUAUCAAAAACACAGCACUCUGCAAAGACGCAAGUCGAAGUAUAGGGUGUGACACGUGACCAAUGCCGAAAGAUUAAGGCAAGGGGUUAGCCGCAAGGCGAAGCUCUAAACCCAAGUCCCGGUGAAUGUCGGCCGUAACUAUAACGGUCCUAAGGUAGCGAAAUUCCUUGUCGGGUAAGUUCCG
This 1510-nucleotide ribosomal RNA is filed under the name human gut metagenome. Its description in RNAcentral is "bacterial LSU rRNA". It matches the Rfam family "Bacterial large subunit ribosomal RNA", at positions 397 to 1985 of the family's 2925-position model. The record is from RNAcentral.